GCCAGCAUAGUUUAGUGGUCUGAGCAUUGGACAAGAGCUCUGAAGACCAGGGUUCAAUUCCCUGCUCAGCCA
Non-coding RNA from Phrynosoma platyrhinos (Desert horned lizard), 72 nucleotides. Lineage: Eukaryota; Metazoa; Chordata; Lepidosauria; Squamata; Phrynosomatidae. The record is from the annotation of a GenBank genome assembly.